GGACGGAUGGGAGCUUGCUCCCUGAAGUCAGCGGCGGACGGGUGAGUAACACGUGGGCAACCUGCCUGUAAGACUGGGAUAACUUCGGGAAACCGGAGCUAAUACCGGAUAAUUCUUUCCCUCACAUGAGGGAAAGCUGAAAGAUGGUUUCGGCUAUCACUUACAGAUGGGCCCGCGGCGCAUUAGCUAGUUGGUGAGGUAACGGCUCACCAAGGCAACGAUGCGUAGCCGACCUGAGAGGGUGAUCGGCCACACUGGGACUGAGACACGGCCCAGACUCCUACGGGAGGCAGCAGUAGGGAAUCUUCCGCAAUGGACGAAAGUCUGACGGAGCAACGCCGCGUGAGUGAUGAAGGUUUUCGGAUCGUAAAACUCUGUUGUUAGGGAAGAACAAGUACCGGAGUAACUGCCGGUACCUUGACGGUACCUAACCAGAAAGCCACGGCUAACUACGUGCCAGCAGCCGCGGUAAUACGUAGGUGGCAAGCGUUGUCCGGAAUUAUUGGGCGUAAAGCGCGCGCAGGCGGUUCCUUAAGUCUGAUGUGAAAGCCCCCGGCUCAACCGGGGAGGGUCAUUGGAAACUGGGGAACUUGAGUGCAGAAGAGAAGAGUGGAAUUCCACGUGUAGCGGUGAAAUGCGCAGAUAUCAGAAGGGAACAA
This 659-nucleotide ribosomal RNA is filed under the name Bacillus sp. SCULCB PT-21. Its description in RNAcentral is "bacterial SSU rRNA". It matches the Rfam family "Bacterial small subunit ribosomal RNA", at positions 64 to 709 of the family's 1533-position model. The record is from RNAcentral. Lineage: Bacteria; Bacillati; Bacillota; Bacilli; Caryophanales; Bacillaceae.